Ciona savignyi (Pacific transparent sea squirt) is the source of this 73-nucleotide non-coding RNA. NCBI's taxonomy places the organism in Eukaryota, Metazoa, Chordata, Ascidiacea, Phlebobranchia, Cionidae. The record is from Rfam.
GGGGGUGUAGCUCAGAUGGUAGAGCGCGCGCUUAGCAUGCGCGAGGUACCGGGAUCGAUACCCGGCACUUCAA